UAAUACGUAGGCAGCAAACGUUGUUCGGAAUUACUGGGCGUAAAGAGUGUGUAGGCGGCUUUGUUAGUUUGGUGUGAAAUCUCCCGGCUUAACUGGGAGGGUGCGCCGAAUACUGCAAGGCUAGAGUACUGGAGAGGAAAGCGGAAUUCCUGGUGUAGCGGUGAAAUGCGUAGAUAUCAGGAGGAACACCGGUGGUGUAGACGGCUUUCUGGACAGUAACUGACGCUGAGACACGAAAGCGUGGGGAGCAAACAGGAUUAGAUACCCUGGUAGUCCACGCCCUAAACGAUGCGUACUUGGUGUGGGUCAUUCACUUGAUCCGUGCCGGAGCUAACGCGUUAAGUACGCCGCCUGGGGAGUACGGUCGCAAGGCUG
RNAcentral lists this ribosomal RNA (375 nucleotides) under uncultured bacterium. RNAcentral's name for it is "bacterial SSU rRNA". It matches the Rfam family "Bacterial small subunit ribosomal RNA", at positions 521 to 896 of the family's 1533-position model. The record is from RNAcentral.